UUUUUUCAUGUGUUUUGGAUAAAUGGGCAGAAUCCAUCAUCCUGAUGAUUAAAAGCAGCUGAUGGAUGUGGCAGCCAGGUCAUCUCAAUACCUAGAAUAACAGCCACAAGAAGUCUAGAAAAGCUUUGGAAGAAUCACUGGUUAUCUCAGCCCACAAGAAUGCCUGCUAUCUGACUUCUGCUGCCUCGCAUGGCCCUCCCCACAGACACUUUCAUGUUUGUUGCUUCAUCGAUCAGACAGUAAACAUCCCUGGCACAGGAUCUUUGAUGGAUUGGAUUAAAAGUGCACCUCAGAAAAGAUUGAGACAUGCAGUUAUGACUUAAGAUCCAUAGUUCCUGGAGCUGAUGGUUCCAGACGUUCCAAGCAUGAAGAUUAUUGUUGCCUAGACACAGAGGACACAGUGAGACACUUUCCCCCAACCCCAAGAGGAACUGCUACGUAAAGGAAAUGAUGCUAUUUCAAGAGUUAAACUUUAAGAUAAAAUCAUGGACUAAAGCAGAUAGAAGGAAAUUUCUGAGGCACUCUGUGCUUGGGAAAGAAAGGUAAGAAAAAGGAUAGAGAAACAUACAAUGAAAGGAAGGGAAGAAGGGGAUGCCAGUGUGCCAAACAUUUCCCCAGACAGGAGGGAAAAAUAGUACAUACAUAUAUAAUCACCCAGGAGAGAGAAAAAUGGAAAGUUG
This 680-nucleotide long non-coding RNA is filed under the name Felis catus (domestic cat). Its description in RNAcentral is "lncRNA (ENSFCAG00000041495.2)". Lineage: Eukaryota; Metazoa; Chordata; Mammalia; Carnivora; Felidae. The record is from RNAcentral.